UAAGUAAUUUAGGAAAUAUUGGUUUCAAUGAGAACAUUACUUUAUGGGAAGUAAUCUACAUUUGUAGUAAAUUCAUCAAGGAACUAGUAUAUGUGAGAAGGUCCUGGCAUGGAUUAUCAGUGAUUAUCAGCUUCUCAACAGUGUUCGCCUGGCUGUAAAUAUGGUUCUCUCUCCAUAGUCAAUGAUUUAAUGAGAACAUGUAGUCAAAUGGAAAAAGCCUGAGAUUUUAAGAAGCCUAAGCUACCCCUCAUCUGUUGUGUGACCCUGGGUGAAUUAUUUAACCUCAUUGGGUCUAAAAAAAUGGUAACAACUGCAGGUUAAUUGUAAUGAUUAAAUGAAGUCUAAAAAAUUCUUUAAGAGCAGGGACUUUGCUUUGUUCACUGUUAUAUUCUCAGUAAGUAUGACAUGUGAACAGUGUGUAUCCAGUAUUUAUUCAAUAAAAUAAAUACUUGUUGAAUGAAUGAAUAAUGUGUGUAAAAUACAUAGACCAGUCCAUGGCACAGUGUAGGCACUCAAUAAAUGAUAUCUAUAGGCUAGCUAUUAGCAAAUUAACUACAUAGCUUUAGUUAUACAGAACACUUGGAGAUUUAAGGGCAUAUAGUAGAUUCUAGCUGACUUCAAUUGUUUGUUUUUUAUUGGAUAGAACUGAAGAUGUUUUACUGAGUUUAUAGAUCAGAAUUUUAAAUGUAGAGUUAGAAAAUAUUUUUAUUUGCUUUUCCCUUGAUGACAAGAACCAUUCAACACUGAAACUAUAGCUGUGGUUAAAAUAGAAGCUGCAGUACAUUUUUGUUAAGAGUAAUGUCAAAAUACAAUUUCCUUUGGUUUUUCUAUGAAUUUGAUGGUAGAACUACAAAUUAAUGGUCCUGAUGCUUUUAACUGAGUUGAUAACCCACGGUGUCCUCACAUAGUGCUACCACAGCAGAAUCCAGAUGUAGCAGUUAUCCAGUUACAACACCUUGUAGACAGAUCUUUGCUGAUGUGUUCAAUGGUUACCAGCACAGCGUUGGCCAUAUUUACCUCUAGACACAGAAGAGUUAACAGCAGAAGAACUGGAAUUGAAAUAUCUUAACUCUAGUCACAGGGCUACAGUAAGUAAACAUAUGAUGUUAAAUUAUUUGACUCAGUUCCUGAUCUAUUAAAUGUGGAUAGAAAGUACAAGCUUUAUCCAUAUUUUAAUGUAAUUUAGAAAGGACAAGUACUUAUUUACCCAGGGAUGCUUUGGUUUCAAGCAACAAAAUAACAUCUAAAGUUUGUUUAAAUAAAGGGAGAGUUUUAAUAAGAUAACAGACAUAUCUCGUGAAACCAAAGAUGAGAUGUGUCACUAAGGUGUGAAUGAGGUUUUGGAACAGAGAACUAGAAAGCCCUCAGAAACCAUAGCUCCUUAAUCAACUGCCUCUUCUCUGCACCACUUGUGUUCUUUAUGUUGCUUUGUGUUUCUAAUUCAUUUUCUUGGUUUUCCCCAUAGAUUGGCUCUAUUGUUUGGCUUUUUAUCACACCAAGUCUUCAGUUGGUAGUCUUAGCCACUAAUCUAGCAACUUGACAGGUAGAGUGCCCUCAGAAAAUCAGUUCAAUCUCUCUGUGUUUUAACAGCAAAUUCCCAGAAAAGAGAAUCUCAGAGACCUUGCUUGGAUUAGGUGUCCCCUCUGGUCCAAUCAGCCAUGGCUCAGCUAGCCUACGAAGAAGAAAGCAACACAGUAUUUUUCCGUCCCCCACCUUUCCCUCAAGAACUCAGUUAUCCAAAUAACACGACCUUUACCUGUGUAUCACUUAUGAGAAAUCACUGGCAAUUGAAGAAAAAGAACAAAAAAAGCAGUUUUAGGAUGAGACAUCAUCAAAGAUCACAUUUAAAGCAUCAUUCUUAGAAUCCAAGCAAAACUGUAUUUUUAAAAUGAGUAACAUUUUUCUGGACUUCCAUUUUCAUCUCUAAAAUAAGACUAAGAGUGUCUGGCUAAAUGUAAAGAAGAGAAUUCAAUAUAUGUGUAAAACCAAGAUACCUAGCAGAGAAUAUGCAAAUAAAUUUAAGGUUCUGCAUCUGUCCGUAUAAGAAAUAUAACACCUACUGAAUUUGAUAGCAGAGGUGAGUAAAAUUAAUUCCCAUAAUACAGUCUUUACAAACACUUGUAACAUACCAACCCAGUAAAGUUAGCUUUGAGACUCUAUGACAUAAAUCACAAGAUCCUUUUUGCCCCACCUCCUAGAGAAAUGGAAAUAAAAACAAAAAUAAACAAAUGGGACCUAAUGAAACUUAAAAGCUUUUGCGCAGCAAAGGAAACCAUGAUGAAAACAAGAUGAAAAGACAACCCUCAGAAUGGGAGAAAAUAUUUGCAAACAAAGCAACUGACAAAGGAUUAAUCUCCAAAAUAUACAAGCAGCUUAUGCAGCUCAAUAUCAAAAAAACAAACAACCCAAUCCAAAAAUGGGUGGAAGACCUAAACAGACAUUUCUCCAAAGAAGAUAUACAGAUUGCCAACAAACACAUGAAAGAAUGCUCAACAUCACUAAUCACUAGAGAAAUGCAAAUCAAAACCACAAUGAGGUAUCACCUCACAUCUGUCAGAAUGGCCAUCAUCAAAAAAUCUACAAACAAUAAAUGCUGGAGAGGGUGUGGAGAAAAGGGAACCCUCUUGCACUAUAGGUGGAAAUGUAAAUUGAUACAGUCACUAUGGAGAACAGUAUGGAGGUUCCUUAAAAAACUAAAAAUGGAACUACCAUACGACCCAGCAAUCCCACUACUGGGCAUAUACCCUGAGAAAACCAUAAUUCAAAAAGAGACAUGUACUACAAUGUUCAUGGCAGCACUAUUUACAAUAGCCAGGACACGGAAGCAACCUAAGUGUCUAUCAACAGAUGAAUGGAUAAAGAAGAUGUGGCACAUAUAUACAAUGGAUAUUACUCCGCCAUAAAAAGGAACGAAAUUGAGUUAUUUGUAGUGAGGUGGCUAGACCUAGAGUCUGUCACACAGACUGAAGUAAGUCAGAAAGAGAAAAACAAAUACUGUAUGCUAAGACAUAUAUAUGGAAUCUAAAAAAAAUGGUUCUGAAGAAACUAGGGGCAGGACAGGAAUAAAGAUGCAGACAUAGAGAAUGGACUUGAGGACACGGGGAGGGGGAAGGGUAAACUGGGACGAAAUGAGAGAGUGGCAUGGACAUAUAAACACUACCAUAUGUAAAAUAGAUAGCUAGUGGGAAGCAACCGCAUAGUGCAGGGAGAUCAGCUGGGUGCUUUGUGACCACCUAGAGGGGUGGGAUAGGGAGGGUGGGAGAGAGAUGCAACAGGGAGUGGAUAUGGGAAUAUAUAUAUACACAUAGCUGAUUCACUUUGUUAUACAGCAGAAACUAACACAACAUUGUAAAAACAAUUAUACUCCAAUAAAGAUGUUAAAAAAUUUA
Molecule: long non-coding RNA, 3389 nt
Organism: Balaenoptera acutorostrata (minke whale)
Lineage: Eukaryota; Metazoa; Chordata; Mammalia; Artiodactyla; Balaenopteridae
Exons: 2
Source: RefSeq, a predicted model, not a curated record